Molecule: ribosomal RNA, 531 nt
Filed under: Triticum aestivum (bread wheat)
Lineage: Eukaryota; Viridiplantae; Streptophyta; Magnoliopsida; Poales; Poaceae
Description: partial small subunit ribosomal RNA
Source: RNAcentral
AUGCUAGAAAGAUUAUCCAAACAUACACAUUUUUGCUUUCUAGAUGGUUAUUCUGGUUUCUCUCAAAUACCUGUGUCAGUCAAAGAUCAAUCAAAGACUACAUUUACUUGCCCUUUUGGUACUUUUGCUUAUAGACAUAUGCCUUUUGGUCUAUGUAAUGCACCUGCUACUUUUCAAAGAUGCAUGAUGGCUAUAUUCUCUGAAUUUUGUGAAAAGAUUUGUGAGGUUUUCAUGGACGAUUUUUCCGUCUAUGGAUCCUCUUUUGAUGAUUGCUUAAGCAAUCUUAAUCGAGUUUUGCAGAGAUGUGAAGAAACUAAUCUUGUCUUGAAUUGGGAAAAGUGCCACUUUAUGGUUAAUGAAGGUAUUGUCUUGGGGCAUAAAGUUUCUGAAAGAGGUAUUGAAGUUGAUAAAGCUAAGGUUGAUGCUAUUGAAAAGAUGCCAUGUCCCAAGGAGAUCAAAGGUAUAAGAAGUUUCCUUGGUCAUGCCGAUUUUUAUAGGAGGUUCAUUAAGGACUUCUCAAAAAUUUCCUAG